Molecule: ribosomal RNA, 459 nt
Filed under: uncultured bacterium
Lineage: Bacteria
Description: partial 16S ribosomal RNA
Rfam family: Bacterial small subunit ribosomal RNA
Source: RNAcentral
GAUGAAUGCUGACGGCGUGCCUAACACAUGCAAGUCGAGCGGUAAGGCCCUUCGGGGUACACGAGCGGCGGACGGCUGAGUAACGCGUGGGAACAUACCCCAGAGUGAGGGAUAACGCACCGAAAGGUGUGCUAAUACCGCAUAAUCUCUUUGGAGCAAAGCAGUAAUGCGCUUUGGGAAUGGCCUGCGUACGAUUAGAUAGUUGGUGAGGUAAUGGCUUACCAAGUCGACGAUCGUUAGCUGGUCUGAGAGGAUGACCAGUCAGACUGGAACUGAGACACGGUCCAGACUCCUACGGGAGGCAGCAGUGAGGAAUCUUCCACAAUGGGGGCAACCCUGAUGGAGCAACGCCGCGUGCAGGAUGAAGGCCUUCGGGUCGUAAACUGCUUUUAUAAGUGAAGAAUAUGACGGUAACUUAUGAAUAAGCACCGGCUAACUACGUGCCAGCCGCCGCGGUAA